AUUCCAGCUCCAAUAGCGUAUAUUAAAGUUGUUGUGGUUAAAAAGCUCGUAGUUGGAUUUCAGCGGGUAUAGGUUGGUUUGAAUUGCUUCAAUACUGACUUUUUUACCCGUGUGUUUUGCCAGAAUUUAACGGGUGAUCUUCGCCGAUUGUCUGUUAGAACUGACAGGGUUACUUUGAAAAAAUUAGAGUGCUCAAAGCAAGCUUGAUUGCUUGAAUAUUCGUGCAUGGAAUAAUAGAAUAGGAAGUCGUUUCUAUUUUGUUGGUUUUCGGAAAUCGACUUAAUGAUUAAUAGGGACAGUCGGGGGCAUUUGUAUUCAAACGACAGAGGUGAAAUUCUUGGACCGUUUGAAGACAAACUACUGCGAAAGCAUUUGCCAAGAAUGUUUUCAUUG
RNAcentral lists this ribosomal RNA (393 nucleotides) under Temora sp. RNAcentral's name for it is "partial small subunit ribosomal RNA". It matches the Rfam family "Eukaryotic small subunit ribosomal RNA", at positions 582 to 975 of the family's 1831-position model. The record is from RNAcentral. Lineage: Eukaryota; Metazoa; Arthropoda; Copepoda; Calanoida; Temoridae.